RNAcentral lists this ribosomal RNA (180 nucleotides) under Triticum aestivum (bread wheat). RNAcentral describes it as "partial small subunit ribosomal RNA". The record is from RNAcentral. Lineage: Eukaryota; Viridiplantae; Streptophyta; Magnoliopsida; Poales; Poaceae.
AUGUUAGGAUCGGCUGGCUCAUCCUCAUCAUCCGAAAACAAAACAAAGACACAGAUUUGAUUCAAUGACAUAUCUAAUCAGACUGAAAUUGAUGUCGAAGACACGGUCAUUCACAUCAAUUGAAGCAUGCAGGAAGGGUGCAAAAGCUACCGUUUAACGAAUGCAAUGCAAGCAAGGUAG